RNAcentral lists this long non-coding RNA (341 nucleotides) under Sus scrofa (pig). RNAcentral describes it as "lncRNA (ENSSSCG00070023954.1)". The record is from RNAcentral. Lineage: Eukaryota; Metazoa; Chordata; Mammalia; Artiodactyla; Suidae.
UCUGGACAAAUUGUACCUCUAGAAUGCUGUGAUGGAGAGAAAGGCAUCAUGAAUAAAGGAACCAUACAGAUUUCACAUAAGGUUUGGAGCAAUAGGGAAAAGGAAUCAUUCCUGACUACUUUGAAGCCAUGGGACUGUACGGGUCAUUCACAAAUCAGGAACAUGCAACACAGUCCAUGAACUACUGAUUGAUAAAAGCCAUUUGGGUGGUGAGUAUGAAGAGGACCCAGUCUGAUUAUUUCUGUUUUGAUUUUGCUCCUCUUUCCCUUAUUCUACCACCUGUUUUACCAGCUAAAACCCCUGAGACCCUAAAAGAUAACCCCUCUUUUGGCUCGGCCCAU